GAGAGAUGGCUGAGUGGUCGAAGGCGACGGUCUCGAAAAUCGUUGUACGGGUAACCGUACCGAGGGUUCGAAUCCCUCUCUCUCC
This 85-nucleotide transfer RNA is filed under the name uncultured Victivallis sp. It matches the Rfam family "tRNA". Rfam says of the family: Transfer RNA (tRNA) molecules are approximately 80 nucleotides in length. Their secondary structure includes four short double-helical elements and three loops (D, anti-codon, and T loops). Further hydrogen bonds mediate the characteristic L-shaped molecular structure. tRNAs have two regions of fundamental functional importance: the anti-codon, which is responsible for specific mRNA codon recognition, and the 3' end, to which the tRNAs corresponding amino acid is attached (by aminoacyl-tRNA synthetases). tRNAs cope with the degeneracy of the genetic code in two manners: having more than one tRNA (with a specific anti-codon) for a particular amino acid; and 'wobble' base-pairing, i.e. permitting non-standard base-pairing at the 3rd anti-codon position. The record is from RNAcentral. Lineage: Bacteria; Pseudomonadati; Lentisphaerota; Lentisphaeria; Victivallales; Victivallaceae.